GGGCGGAUAGCUCAGUUGGGAGAGCACCUGCCUUACAAGCAGGGGGUCACAGGUUCGAGCCCUGUUCCGCCCA
Molecule: transfer RNA, 73 nt
Filed under: Natranaerobius trueperi
Lineage: Bacteria; Bacillati; Bacillota; Clostridia; Natranaerobiales; Natranaerobiaceae
Rfam family: tRNA
About the family: Transfer RNA (tRNA) molecules are approximately 80 nucleotides in length. Their secondary structure includes four short double-helical elements and three loops (D, anti-codon, and T loops).
Source: Rfam by way of RNAcentral